AACGCGAAGAACCUUACCUGGCCUUGACAUGCUGGUAGUAGGAGCCUGAAAGGGUAACGACUCAUCGUAAGAUGAGAGCCAGCACAAGUGCUGCAUGGUUGUCGUCAGCUCGUGUCGUGAGAUGUUGGGUUAAGUCCCGCAACGAGCGCAACCCUUAUCUUCAGUUGCUACCAUUUAGUUGAGCACUCUGACGAAACCGCCUCGGAUAACGGGGAGGAAGGUGGGGAUGACGUCAAGUCCUCAUGGCCUUUAUGUCCAGGGCUACACACGUGCUACAAUGGCCGGUACAAACCGUCGCAAACCCGUGAGGGGGAGCUAAUCGGAAAAAGCCGUCCUCAGUUCGGAUUAGAGUCUGCAACUCGACUCUAUGAAGCUGGAAUCGCUAGUAAUCGCGGAUCAGAACGCCGCGGUGAAUACGUUCCCGGGCCUUGUACACACCGAGACGAC
This 447-nucleotide ribosomal RNA is filed under the name uncultured bacterium. Its description in RNAcentral is "bacterial SSU rRNA". It matches the Rfam family "Bacterial small subunit ribosomal RNA", at positions 958 to 1398 of the family's 1533-position model. The record is from RNAcentral.